RNAcentral lists this ribosomal RNA (271 nucleotides) under uncultured bacterium. Its description in RNAcentral is "partial small subunit ribosomal RNA". It matches the Rfam family "Bacterial small subunit ribosomal RNA", at positions 26 to 285 of the family's 1533-position model. The record is from RNAcentral.
AGAAUCAACGCUGGCGGCGUGCCUAACACAUGCAAGUCGAACGCGAAAGCCCCGCAAGGGGUAAGUAGAGUGGCAAACGGGUGAGUAACACGUGGGUGGCCUGCCUUCGAGUGGGGGAUAACGUCCCGAAAGGGACGCUAAUACCGCAUGACAUCCUGCUUUUGGAAAAGCGGAGAUCAAAGCCGGGAUCGCAAGACCUGGCGCUUGAAGAUGGGCCCGCGCCUGAUUAGCUAGUUGGUAGGGUAACGGCCUACCAAGGCAACGAUCGGUA